GUGGGGAAUUUUGGACAAUGGGGGCAACCCUGAUCCAGCCAUUUCGCGUGUGCGAUGAAGGCCUUCGGGUUGUAAAGCACUUUUGGCAGGGAAGAAAAGGUUUGGGCUAAUACCCUGAGCCGCUGACGGUACCUGCAGAAUAAGCACCGGCUAACUACGUGCCAGCAGCCGCGGUAAUACGUAGGGUGCAAGCGUUAAUCGGAAUUACUGGGCGUAAAGCGUGCGCAGGCGGUUCGGAAAGAAAGAUGUGAAAUCCCAGGGCUUAACCUUGGAACUGCAUUUUUAACUACCGAGCUAGAGUGUGUCAGAGGGAGGUGGAAUUCCGCGUGUAGCAGUGAAAUGCGUAGAGAUGCGGAGGAACACCGAUGGCGAAGGCAGCCUCCUGGGAUAACACUGACGCUCAGGCACGAAAGCGUGGGGAGCAAACAGGAUUAGAUACCCCGGUAGUCC
RNAcentral lists this ribosomal RNA (450 nucleotides) under uncultured bacterium. RNAcentral's name for it is "bacterial SSU rRNA". It matches the Rfam family "Bacterial small subunit ribosomal RNA", at positions 354 to 796 of the family's 1533-position model. The record is from RNAcentral.